This 414-nucleotide ribosomal RNA is filed under the name uncultured bacterium. Its description in RNAcentral is "bacterial SSU rRNA". It matches the Rfam family "Bacterial small subunit ribosomal RNA", at positions 29 to 430 of the family's 1533-position model. The record is from RNAcentral.
AACGAACACUGGCGGCGUGCUUAACACAUGCAAGUCGAACGCGAAAGGGGCUUCGGUCCUGAGUAGAGUGGCGCACGGGUGAGUAACGCGUAGAUAACCUGUCCUGGUGUCUGGAAUAAUAUCUCGAAAGGGGUGCUAAUACCGGAUAUUCUUGCUUUCUAUAAGGUAUGCAAGGAAAGGUGGCCUCUGGAACAAGCUACUGCACGAGGAGGGGUCUGCGUACCAUUAGCUAGUAGGUGGGGUAAUGGCCUACCUAGGCGACGAUGGUUAGCGGGUCUGAGAGGAUGAUCCGCCACACUGGUACUGAAACACGGACCAGACUCCUACGGGAGGCAGCAGUGAGGAAUAUUGCGCAAUGGGGGCGAACCCUGACGCAGCGACGCCGCGUGAGUGAGGAAGGCCUCGGUCGGUAAG